GGAGCAUUCCAAGUGCUGGUGCCCCCAACUCUUUCAGAUUUAGACUGUGCCUUGGGACAGACCUGCCCCUGUCAGUGUUUGUCCAUGUGACCCUGUGACCUUGGAUAUCUUCCACUAUUGUAGAGUCACCAUCCUUCAGCUCUAGAAUGAGGACAGUGAGAACCACCUCAUGGUAUUGUACUAAAUCAUCAUGGGAAUGAGGUAUAAAAUGUUCAAGGUAAAAUGACCCUCAGUGAAUGGUGUGCCGAAGUAUUUCUUGGUGGUUAUUGGAGAGCAGAGGCCCUGUCUGUGCCUGAGAGGAGGAGUCUCUGUGACAGGACAGGAACAAGGUGUGCACCAUUCUAGGGAGUGUUAGAAUGUGCCUCAUGGGGCUAGACAGGGACUCUCUUGCCCUGGGCCCCCCUCUACUUCUCUGAGGGGCAGAGGUCAACCUUUGAGACCUCUAGGCCUUUUUCCAUGAUCCAGUUCUGAAAUCCCUCCACUGGGACUCACCUGUUUCACCCUUGAACAUACAUGGGCCUGACCUACCUGGGAUUGGGAACAUCAGUGAAUUCUUUCCAGGUCACUGAUGGGUCACACAUAUGGUCAGUGCCUGUGCUGGCUCUCUGCAACUGAUCUGACUUGGAGUAACUGGGGAACAUGUUU
RNAcentral lists this long non-coding RNA (645 nucleotides) under Marmota monax (woodchuck). Lineage: Eukaryota; Metazoa; Chordata; Mammalia; Rodentia; Sciuridae. The record is from RNAcentral.